UGGGGAAUAUUGCGCAAUGGGCGAAAGCCUGACGCAGCGACGCCGCGUGAGGGAUGAAGGUUUUCGGAUCGUAAACCUCUGUCAGAAGGGAAGAAACCGCACUGUGCUAAUCAGCAGUGCCUUGACGGUACCUUCAAAGGAAGCACCGGCUAACUCCGUGCCAGCAGCCGCGGUAAUACGGAGGGUGCAAGCGUUAAUCGGAAUUACUGGGCGUAAAGCGCACGUAGGCUGCUUUGUAAGUCAGGGGUGAAAUCCCACGGCUCAACCGUGGAACUGCCUUUGAUACUGCUUAGCUUGAAUCCGGGAGAGGGUGGCGGAAUUCCAGGUGUAGGAGUGAAAUCCGUAGAUAUCUGGAGGAACAUCAGUGGCGAAGGCGGCCACCUUGACCGGUAUUGACGCUGAAGUGCGAAAGCGUGGGGAGCAAACAGG
This 429-nucleotide ribosomal RNA is filed under the name Fusobacteriota bacterium. Its description in RNAcentral is "Fusobacteria bacterium partial 16S ribosomal RNA". It matches the Rfam family "Bacterial small subunit ribosomal RNA", at positions 355 to 776 of the family's 1533-position model. The record is from RNAcentral. Lineage: Bacteria; Fusobacteriati; Fusobacteriota.